AUGUUGCUGGAUGGGGAUUCCAAUUGCACACCCCGCAGCUGUAGGUCUCCAUCACCUCCCAACCUGCCUGGGGGUUUCACUUAUUUAUUUGGAAGUAGCCUCAGCAAAUGUGACGAUAUUGGUGUAGUUCAGCAGCCUGAAGGAAAAGAAAUCUAUUCAGCUUCUCUUUUAAAGAGAUAUUCCCUACUGGCUAAUAAAAACUUUAAUAAAAAUUCUGUUGAUGCUUUGCAGAUGUCCCCAAGAGCUGAGUGCUGGGUGGGCAUGGUGCAGCUAGCAGGUACAAAGAGACAGAAUUCGGGCCCAAGAAGCAGUUGGAUGGCUGCUAGAAUUUAUGUUACUAAAAUGCCCUUAUUUGUUCCAACUGAGGAAAUAUUCCUUCUGAACAGUGGAAAUGUCAUCAGCUUGGACAUCCUCGUGAGGUUUCUAGCAUCUGUGGUUCCAGUUUGGACCUGCUCUGGGCUCAGAUAAAAGAGGAAGAACAUGAUGUUGUCCUAAAGGAGGGUGCUGGCAUGAAACCACAAGCGGUCACUUGCGGCAGCAAGCUUUGCUUUGUCCCUGUCAGAAAUGAGAGGAGAAGAAAAGCACGUCUGGGGAGCUGCAGAACUCCAGGUUGCUCAGACGACUCCUUCCCAAGCAACUGUGCAUAGAACAGUAUCAUCAUGGGUUUGGUGAUGGAGGUUGGUGUUAUCGAGUCUUGGUGGCACAUUGAUAAAUAUGCAUUAAACUGCACAGGCUCAAAAUCUUCCACUCUCUACCACGUUUCUGUUGGGUUUGUGCUUUUUUGGAGAUAAAAUGUUUUCUCUCUCAGUUAGGGCUGUAAGAUCCCUACUCGGGGUCUGGUGCUUUGCUCUCUGGGCUGAGUCCCUCUGAACAGCAGUGCUGCUGCUCACCCAGUAGCCACAUUCACUGGACUUGGGCACAGCCUCAUCCCUUCUGCCAUCAAAGUGAAAAAUGGAUAGGAAAAACUGAGCAUAAACUGACUGAUACUUUUGCCCAGUACAAGCUGGCUUAAUUUUGGAAACAGGCACAACAGCACUACAGCUCUUGUGAUGCCAAAAAAGCCUUUCUGAAGGGAAAAUACAUCCUUCAUUUGUCCACUGUGUUUUUUAAUCAUGAUCCCUCCACAGAUGAAAAUGUCAAUGUUAGAUAAAAAUGAGAGCAAGUCACUUGGUUGACUCUUAAAGAUGCACUCAGUGCAGCCACGGUUAGGUUUGCAGGACAGUAAGAGUCUUCAGGAGAGCCAUUGAUCCAUCAAGAAGGGGGAAGUAGGGGCAUUCACUGCUGGAUAAAAAUAAGCUACUUGAGCAAGAGAUGGCACAAGCUGCUGUGGUUUGCUUUCACGUGACACCUUGAAGAGGAAAUAGAGGAGAUGACUUAGACGGACAUUGAGAUGACUUAGGUAGGGCAGUGCCCCUCAGAAUGAUUCAUAUAACUUCAAAGUAGCCUCUCUUUCUCACAUGCAAAUUUUCCAUUUGGCACAGUUGACAUGGGUAUAGAGGAAGAAAGGGAUUGCCCUUGUGCAGUUCUCCUGCGUGUAGGAACAACGAUUGAAAAAAAACCUGAUUUCACAUGGCCACCCUUAAGCAUUACCUCGUCUGAUUCAAAUAUUAACACAGAGUCCCCACUAUGUAUGUGUGUAUAUAUAUAUAUGUAUACAUAUAUGUACACAAAACUCUUGCUUACCAUCCCCUUACUGCUCACAGCUACACAUGAAGGAGAGAGGUUCCGGAUGUGGAUUCAGUGGGGUAGAAAAGUAAAGCUUUCCCAAUUUAAGGAAAUAAGAAGUUAAGGGAACAGAGAGAUGAAAAGAUAAAAUUAGCUCUUGGAGAGAUUAAACUUAAGUGCCCAUAACUAGAAGCCAACUUCCAGCUAACAGUGCAGGGCAGAUGGAUCCUGAGCUGGUAAAAGAGCAUCUCAGUAAAGUUCGAGUUUCAGUUUCUUCUACCAAGGCAACAUCAGAAGUAUUUCAGAUUUCUGAAUUUUUGUUGUUUGCUCUCCCUCCCGCCCUCCCCCACAUUCAACCGGGAAGGAGGAGUAUAUUCUCUUUGAAAGUGUUUUUCAAACAGACUUAGUCCAGCGGGUGAUUAGUCCACAUGUCUGUGGUUUGUGUGUGUGUAUGCAUUCAAAUACACAGGAGGCAGAGAAGAAAAGAGGACUGGAGGCAAAGUGGAUCCAAAGUAUGAGCUAUCUCCUUAUUAAAGACAUACCACAGCCUGCAUGUAACUCCCAAUGAACUCUUAGAUCACCACAUGACCUAUUUAUCUCCAUUAGAAGCGACAAGAUGUAACCCAGUGCCCUUAUCCUGAUCCCGUGAACUUAGAAGCUCAUAGUGGUUCACAGCAAACUGCUGCCUUCAGAAGGGUGGCAUACAUAAGGCUUUGCCCGGAUGGGAAGCAUCUUAUCCAGGGUUCUCCUGACUCUGAGUCAGCUUUCCUGCAGGGCUGUCAGCCUGGCAUUCAUUAGGAGGCCUGCAAAUGACAUUGCUGAAAAGCCAUAAGUCAAAUCCAAGAUGGCAGAUGGAGUGGUUUGUUGGGUGAACAGUGCUCACCUCAAAGUUGCUGGACAAACAAUUUCAUGGUGUCCUGCUGUUUUCAGUAUCCCAUUCGUCCCUUGGAGGGCUGUUUGCUUCCUUCCUUUGGGCAUGAUAUUAUGCUCAGCUGCAUCCAUGCUGGCUCACUGAAGAGAUGAGAAGAAGAUUUGAUGCUGUAGGACUUGUUCUGUGCCUCUUUACUUUGGAAAGCAGCAUCAGAACCAACCUUUCAAAUAUCACAAGAUAAUGAGACUAGUUUCAAAAGUACAGAGGAUAUUUUUGUGUGUGUGUGUCCAGUUUAAAAUAAAUAAAUAAAUGGAAAGAAGAAAUGUUCUGUU
Molecule: long non-coding RNA, 2868 nt
Filed under: Coturnix japonica (Japanese quail)
Lineage: Eukaryota; Metazoa; Chordata; Aves; Galliformes; Phasianidae
Description: lncRNA (ENSCJPG00005020856.1)
Source: RNAcentral